GACUCUCGACAACGGAUAUCUCGGCUCUCGCAUCGAUGAAGAACGUAGUGAAAUGCGAUACUUGGUGUGAAUUGCAGAAUCCCGUGAACCAUCGAGUUUUUGAACGCAAGUUGCGCCCGAAGCCGUCAGGCCGAGGGCACGUCUGCCUGGGCGUCU
RNAcentral lists this ribosomal RNA (156 nucleotides) under Cornus volkensii. RNAcentral's name for it is "5.8S ribosomal RNA". It matches the Rfam family "5.8S ribosomal RNA". From Rfam's summary of the family: 5.8S ribosomal RNA (5.8S rRNA) is a component of the large subunit of the eukaryotic ribosome. It is transcribed by RNA polymerase I as part of the 45S precursor that also contains 18S and 28S rRNA. Functionally, it is thought that 5.8S rRNA may be involved in ribosome translocation. Lineage: Eukaryota; Viridiplantae; Streptophyta; Magnoliopsida; Cornales; Cornaceae. The record is from RNAcentral.